Molecule: ribosomal RNA, 1582 nt
Filed under: Escherichia albertii
Lineage: Bacteria; Pseudomonadati; Pseudomonadota; Gammaproteobacteria; Enterobacterales; Enterobacteriaceae
Description: partial 23S ribosomal RNA
Rfam family: Bacterial large subunit ribosomal RNA
Source: RNAcentral
UCCUGUCCAACGUUAAUCGGGGCAGGGUGAGUCGACCCCUAAGGCGAGGCCGAAAGGCGUAGUCGAUGGGAAACAGGUUAAUAUUCCUGUACUUGGUGUUACUGCGAAGGGGGGACGGAGAAGGCUAUGUUGGCCGGGCGACGGUUGUCCCGGUUUAAGCGUGUAGGCUGGUUUUCCAGGCAAAUCCGGAGAAUCAAGGCUGAGGCGUGAUGACGAGGCACUACGGUGCUGAAGCAACAAAUGCCCUGCUUCCAGGAAAAGCCUCUAAGCAUCAGGUAACAUCAAAUCGUACCCCAAACCGACACAGGUGGUCAGGUAGAGAAUACCAAGGCGCUUGAGAGAACUCGGGUGAAGGAACUAGGCAAAAUGGUGCCGUAACUUCGGGAGAAGGCACGCUGAUAUGUAGGUGAAGCGACUUGCUCGUGGAGCUGAAAUCAGUCGAAGAUACCAGCUGGCUGCAACUGUUUAUUAAAAACACAGCACUGUGCAAACACGAAAGUGGACGUAUACGGUGUGACGCCUGCCCGGUGCCGGAAGGUUAAUUGAUGGGGUCAGCGCAAGCGAAGCUCUUGAUCGAAGCCCCGGUAAACGGCGGCCGUAACUAUAACGGUCCUAAGGUAGCGAAAUUCCUUGUCGGGUAAGUUCCGACCUGCACGAAUGGCGUAAUGAUGGCCAGGCUGUCUCCACCCGAGACUCAGUGAAAUUGAACUCGCUGUGAAGAUGCAGUGUACCCGCGGCAAGACGGAAAGACCCCGUGAACCUUUACUAUAGCUUGACACUGAACACUGGUCCUUGAUGUGUAGGAUAGGUGGGAGGCUUUGAAGUGUGGACGCCAGUCUGCAUGGAGCCGUCCUUGAAAUACCACCCUUUAAUGGCUGGUGUUCUAACGUAGGCCCCUUACCGGGGUUGCGGACAGUGUCUGGUGGGUAGUUUGACUGGGGCGGUCUCCUCCUAAAGAGUAACGGAGGAGCACGAAGGUUGGCUAAUCCUGGUCGGACAUCAGGAGGUUAGUGCAAUGGCAUAAGCCAGCUUGACUGCGAGCGUGACGGCGCGAGCAGGUGCGAAAGCAGGUCAUAGUGAUCCGGUGGUUCUGAAUGGAAGGGCCAUCGCUCAACGGAUAAAAGGUACUCCGGGGAUAACAGGCUGAUACCGCCCAAGAGUUCAUAUCGACGGCGGUGUUUGGCACCUCGAUGUCGGCUCAUCACAUCCUGGGGCUGAAGUAGGUCCCAAGGGUAUGGCUGUUCGCCAUUUAAAGUGGUACGCGAGCUGGGUUUAGAACGUCGUGAGACAGUUCGGUCCCUAUCUGCCGUGGGCGCUGGAGAACUGAGGGGGGCUGCUCCUAGUACGAGAGGACCGGAGUGGACGCAUCACUGGUGUUCGGGUUGUCAUGCCAAUGGCACUGCCCGGUAGCUAAAUGCGGAAGAGAUAAGUGCUGAAAGCAUCUAAGCACGAAACUUGCCCCGAGAUGAGUUCUCCCUGAGACUUUAAGUCUCCUGAAGGAACGUUGAAGACGACGACGUUGAUAGGCCGGGUGUGUAAGCGCAGCGAUGCGUUGAGCUAACCGGUACUAAUGAACCGUGAG